GAUGAACGCUGGCGGCGUGCCUAAUACAUGCAAGUCGAGCGAACAGACGAGGAGCUUGCUCCUCUGACGUUAGCGGCGGACGGGUGAGUAACACGUGGAUAACCUACCUAUAAGACUGGGAUAACUUCGGGAAACCGGAGCUAAUACCGGAUAAUAUAUUGAACCGCAUGGUUCAAUAGUGAAAGACGGUUUUGCUGUCACUUAUAGAUGGAUCCGCGCCGCAUUAGCUAGUUGGUAAGGUAACGGCUUACCAAGGCGACGAUGCGUAGCCGACCUGAGAGGGUGAUCGGCCACACUGGAACUGAGACAAGGUCCAGACUCCUACGGGAGGCAGCAGUAGGGAAUCUUCCGCAAUGGGCGAAAGCCUGACGGAGCAACGACGCGUGAGUGAUGAAGGUCUUCGGAUCGUAAAACUCUGUUAUUAGGGAAGAACAAAUGUGUAAGUAACUAUGCACGUCUUGACGGCACCUACUCAGAAAGCCACGGCUAACUACGUG
This 497-nucleotide ribosomal RNA is filed under the name uncultured bacterium. Its description in RNAcentral is "partial 16S ribosomal RNA". It matches the Rfam family "Bacterial small subunit ribosomal RNA", at positions 28 to 507 of the family's 1533-position model. The record is from RNAcentral.